RNAcentral lists this small RNA (192 nucleotides) under Calidris pygmaea (Spoon-billed sandpiper). RNAcentral's name for it is "TUC338 (ENSCPGG00000002903.1)". The record is from RNAcentral. Lineage: Eukaryota; Metazoa; Chordata; Aves; Charadriiformes; Scolopacidae.
UUGACAGCCCUGGAGACUUAAGUUUUCUUUUCAUCUACAGAGCAGACACAGGGUAAGUAGCUGUACUACAAACUCUUUCUCACCACCACCCACUUGGAGAGACUAUUGUGAAAGAUAAAAGACGACUUCUCGAGUUUUAUGGGAUGAUGCCUACAGCCUUGAGUCAUCUAUGGCCUCCUCUGCAGGGCUGAU